UAAUAGAUACCCAGGUAGUCCACGCCGUAAACGAUGUCGACUUGGAGGUUGUUCCCUUGAGGAGUGGCUUCCGGAGCUAACGCGUUAAGUCGACCGCCUGGGGAGUACGGCCGCAAGGUUAAAACUCAAAUGAAUUGACGGGGGCCCGCACAAGCGGUGGAGCAUGUGGUUUAAUUCGAUGCAACGCGAAGAACCUUACCUACUCUUGACAUCCACGGAACUUUUCAGAGAUGAAUUGGUGCCUUCGGGAACCGUGAGACAGGUGCUGCAUGGCUGUCGUCAGCUCGUGUUGUGAAAUGUUGGGUUAAGUCCCGCAACGAGCGCAACCCUUAUCCUUUGUUGCCAGCGGUUAGGCCGGGAACUCAAAGGAGACUGCCAGUGAUAAACUGGAGGAAGGUGGGGAUGACGUCAAGUCAUCAUGGCCCUUACGAGUAGGGCUACACACGUGCUACAAUGGCGCAUACAAAGAGAAGCGACCUCGCGAGAGCAAGCGGACCUCAUAAAGUGCGUCGUAGUCCGGAUUGGAGU
Molecule: ribosomal RNA, 528 nt
Filed under: uncultured bacterium
Lineage: Bacteria
Description: bacterial SSU rRNA
Rfam family: Bacterial small subunit ribosomal RNA
Source: RNAcentral